This 372-nucleotide unclassified non-coding RNA is filed under the name Hevea brasiliensis (rubber tree). Lineage: Eukaryota; Viridiplantae; Streptophyta; Magnoliopsida; Malpighiales; Euphorbiaceae. The record is from RNAcentral.
GUUUUCUCCUCUAAUCAACUUAUCUCAACUCAGUUAGGCCACAAUACCAAGCUAGGCAGACUGAUUAUUCUUUUCCUCCAUUUGGCUUUGUUAGGAGCAUAUUUUAUUCUCUAUUACCAUAAAAGAUUAUUAAAGAUGACCUAAACUUGUAAAUAUUGGAAUUGAUUCCUUUACUUGUCAUCAGCAAUUUAGAAGCACAGUAAUUCACACGUAGUUGCAUUUAUUUUCAAUGUUUUCAUUGCAUGUUAUCAUAACACCAAUGUUAGCGCACAUUAUAAGUCAACACAAUUUGGCUAAUUGUCCUCUUGAUCUUUCAUUGAAUUAGGAAGAUGUUCACUCGGCCUUCCCUUAAUCAAUGCUUAAAGAACCUAA